AUUGAACGCUGGCGGCAGGCCUAACACAUGCAAGUCGAGCGGUAACAGGAAGAAGCUUGCUUCUUUGCUGACGAGUGGCGGACGGGUGAGUAAUGUCUGGGAAACUGCCUGAUGGAGGGGGAUAACUACUGGAAACGGUAGCUAAUACCGCAUAACGUCGCAAGACCAAUGAGGGGGACCUUCGGGCCUCUUGCCAUCGGAUGUGCCCAGAUGGGAUUAGCUAGUAGGUGGGGUAACGGCUCACCUAGGCGACGAUCCCUAGCUGGUCUGAGAGGAUGACGAGCCACACUGGAACUGGGACACGGUCCAGACUCCUACGGGAGGCAGCAGUGGGGAAUAUUGCACAAUGGGCGCAAGCCUGAUGCAGCCAUGCCGCGUGUAUGAAGAAGGCCUUCGGGUUGUAAAGUACUUUCAGCGGGGAGGAAGGGAGUAAAGUUAAUACCUUUGCUCAUUGACGUUACCCGCAGAAGAAGCACCGGCUAACUCCGUG
This 490-nucleotide ribosomal RNA is filed under the name uncultured bacterium. RNAcentral describes it as "partial 16S ribosomal RNA". It matches the Rfam family "Bacterial small subunit ribosomal RNA", at positions 30 to 507 of the family's 1533-position model. The record is from RNAcentral.